UCUCCUUACCAGCCCUCGACCUUAUUCAUUCAGUUUUCUCGUCCCAUUUCUCUCAUCUCUAGAAAUCAACCCCAAAAUCGCAACGAGCACGAGCCCCAAAUCCCGACGACUACUGUUGCCACAAAUUCCAGCAACGCUGGUGACCUCCUCUAGCCCAACGACCUCCACGUCCCCAUCCUCCGUCUCUUGUUCCAAGCCCCACGGUGGCCGCUCAUCCAUCAGCGCGACCAUGCGGCAACCAGCGCUCGUCGCCAUGGCCGACUGCAGCUGGUUGCGCUCCUGUUCAUGGCCGCCGCCGCAGGAUUUGCUACAAGCAUGCUUUGUUUUUUGCAGGAACCAGCCCAUGUAUUUUGCUAUCACCCACCAUCCAAAAUUUGCUACCACGUUAGUUUUUGCUGGAACCGGCGAACCAUUUUGCUACAACCGUUUUGGUUUUUGUUACUACCGGUGUUUUGUGCAUUUAUGCUACAUCCAUCUUCAUGACAUCGCUGUUUUUCCAGUCGAUUUUUUGCUACAACCAUGUUAUGAUUUUGUUGGAACCGAAGAUAAUUUUUGCUGGAACCGACUCAUAUUUUUGCUACCACCCACCCCGCCCAAAAUCUGCUCCCACCGUAUUUUUGCUGGAACCGGCUAACGAUUUUGCUACAACUAUGUUGCUUUUUUGUUACUGCCGGUGUUUGUCGAAUUUUUGCUACAUCCCAUCUCCAUGAACAUGCGGGACCCGCGACUGUGUAUUUUGAUGCAACCUUUUUGUCAGUUUUUGUUACCACAGCGUUGCUCAACGGUGGCGAUGGAUUUUUUUUUGGGAACCGGGGCUGCCCCUCGAAAGCGAGAAUGGAGUGGCGGUGAGCUUCGAGGCCGGCGUCAAGCUCAUCCAUGGCGGGGGAGGGGUGGGGUCAGCGGGGGCUCAGUCGUCGGGCGGAGGGUUCUUUCGCGUCUGGCGUGCGGCGGCGCGAGGUGGGAGAUGCGGGGAGGACAAAGAAAAAAAGGAGCUCGAUCAAACGGCUGAUAAGACGCGCAUCUGACGGCUAGGGGUCGACCGGGCCGAACGGUUCGGCCGGUGCGCCGGCGCCUAGCACUGCCCAUUAUGUAAUGGCUGGUAUCUUCCCUGUUGCCUGGGAUCAUGGGGCUCGCCAGCUUCAGCUUUACACAGCGCACAGCGGCAUGUUCCUGGGUGACGUUUUGCCCGGCGAGAAGCUGAGGAGGACGCCAGUCCUGGAGCUGUGCAGAGCAGUCUAGAGGUGAACCGGAACGGCGCGCCGGUGCUGCCGUCUCUGACGACCCCUUCCUGAAGAAGGGGGUGGUUGGCGACUGGCGCAUCCACAUGACGCUCGCCGUGCCUGCUCCAGCCACCGUCUCGCGGCCGGAAGGUGAUGUACCGAGCAUCCUUCAGCUUUAGGGCCUGUUCGGCAACCCUCUAGCUCCCUCAGAUCUUCAACUCCUCAGCUCAACUCCUCCGCCCAACUCCUCGUUGAAAAAACCCAGAGUUCAGAAACGUUUGGCAGCACAGCUUCUCGAUCGGGAGCACUGGCGUGGGCUGGCAGCUGAUUCGGUUUUGAUGUGUCCCAGCUCGAGCGAUAAGCUGCAGCGAACCGGUACGCUAGCUCACUUGGCGGUGGCACGCAGCCGUAAUUCCAGUCAACUCUCGCUCCUUUGAUUUUUCAGAGCAGUAGAUGUCUAGCUCCUCAGCUCCUCGUAAAAUACAGUACGCUCCGCUCCCAGCUUCUUUUUCUUAACUCCAGGAGUUAACCCGUUCGGCACAGCUCCAAAGCUGGAGUUAGUGGAGUUGGGAGCUGAAGAGAAGAGCAACCGAACAGGCUCUUAGCAUCAACAAUCAAAAUAUACUAAUUUUACAGCUA
Long non-coding RNA from Aegilops tauschii subsp. strangulata, 1859 nucleotides. RefSeq lists it as uncharacterized. NCBI's taxonomy places the organism in Eukaryota, Viridiplantae, Streptophyta, Magnoliopsida, Poales, Poaceae. The record is from RefSeq and is a predicted model, not a curated record.